GAGAUCAUAGUUAAUUUAUAAGAACACGUUUCGAUCGACGAACAGGGCGGAGCAAUUAAUGGCGGGCUUAAGAGGAUGCUCCGAACGUGUCGAAGAUGGUGGUGUGGAGCGGGUCGCUCAGGUGGGUGGCCCAGUUGUUGAGCGGCCCCUUGCCGGUGGCGGCGGCCUGCACGGCGAAUCCGAGGAAGGCGACCAUGGCGAGGCGCGCGUGCUUGAUCUCCGCCAGCUGCAGCCGCUCCUUCUUCUCCGGGUCGGCCGCCAGGCCGAGCGGGUCGAAGUAGGAGCCGCCGGGGUACAGCCUCUUCUCCGG
Molecule: long non-coding RNA, 310 nt
Filed under: Sorghum bicolor (sorghum)
Lineage: Eukaryota; Viridiplantae; Streptophyta; Magnoliopsida; Poales; Poaceae
Description: long non-coding RNA (SBIC_LNC003823)
Source: RNAcentral